UACAGAGGGGGCAAGCGUUGUUCGGAAUUACUGGGCGUAAAGGGCGCGUAGGCGGCCUGCUAAGUCGAACGUGAAAUCCCUGGGCUCAACCCAGGAACUGCGUCCGAUACUGGUUGGCUUGAAUCCGGGAGAGGGAUGCGGAAUUCCAGGUGUAGCGGUGAAAUGCGUAGAUAUCUGGAGGAACACCGGUGGCGAAGGCGGCCUGCUGGGCAGUUUUGCUGACACUGAGGCGCGACAGCGUGGGGAGCAAACAGG
This 255-nucleotide ribosomal RNA is filed under the name uncultured bacterium. Its description in RNAcentral is "partial 16S ribosomal RNA". It matches the Rfam family "Bacterial small subunit ribosomal RNA", at positions 524 to 776 of the family's 1533-position model. The record is from RNAcentral.